Non-coding RNA from Acanthosepion pharaonis, 109 nucleotides. The record is from the annotation of a GenBank genome assembly. NCBI's taxonomy places the organism in Eukaryota, Metazoa, Mollusca, Cephalopoda, Sepiida, Sepiidae.
GGUUAAAUCACGCUGAAACACCGGUUCUCGUUCGAUCACCGAAGUUAAGCAUCGUAGAGCCAGGUCAGUACUUAGAUGGGGACCGCUUGGGAACACCUGGUACUGUAAG